Molecule: long non-coding RNA, 2018 nt
Organism: Ictalurus punctatus (channel catfish)
Lineage: Eukaryota; Metazoa; Chordata; Actinopteri; Siluriformes; Ictaluridae
Source: Ensembl
UAUACACAACCUUAUACACACCCUUAUACACACCCGUAUACUCACUCACUUGUUCACACACCCGUAUACACACUCCUUUAUUCACACGCCCUUAUACACACAACCUUAUACACACCUUUAUACACACAGCCUUUUGCACACCCACUUAUCCACUCCCUUAUACACACACUCAUACACACACACUCAUACACACAGCCUUAUACACAUCCCCUUACCCACACCCUUAUACACCCGUAUACACACACCCGUAUACACACACCCUUAUUCACACACCUUUAUACACACAACGUUAUACACACUUGUAUACACACUCACUUAUUCACACACCCUUAUACACACACCCGUAUACACACCCACAUACACACCCGCGUAUACACACACCCUUAUACACACCCGUGUACACACCCGUAUACACACUCAUAUACACACCCUUAUACACACCAACUUAUUCACACACCUUUAUACACACACCCAUAUACUCACUCACUUAUUCACAUACCCUUAUUCACACUCGUAUACUCACUCACUUAUUCACACACCCUUAUACACACAACCCUAUACACACCCGUAUACACACCCUUAUACACCCUUAUACACACCCGUAUACACACUCACUUAUUCACACACCCUUAUACACACAACCCUAUACACACCCGUAUACACACCCUUAUACACCCUUAUACACACCCGUAUACACACUCACUUAUUCACACACCCUUAUACACACAACCCUAUACACACCCUUAUACACCCUUAUACACACCCGUAUACACACUCACUUAUUCACACACCCUUAUACACACCAGUAUACAUACCCUUAUACACACUCCUAUGCACACAGUCUCAUACACUCGGUCUUAUACACACCUGUAUACACAGCCUUAUACACACCCUAUACAAACUCACUUAUUCACACAACCUCAUACACACACUCAUACACACCCAUAUACACACAACCUUAUUCACACACCUUUAUACACAACCUUAUACACACCCGUAUACAUACUCACUUAUUCACAGACCCUUAUACACACAGCCUUAUACCCACCCUUAUACUCUCCCGUGUACACUCCUACUUAUUCAAACACCCGUAUACUCACUCAUUCACACACUUUUAUACCCACACCCUUAUACACACCCGUAUACACACCCAUCUACACACAACCUUAUACACACCCUUAUGCACACCUGUAUACACACUCACUUAUUCACGCAGCCUUAUACACACAGCCUCACACACACCCUUAUACACCCUUAUACACACCCAUAUACACACACCCGUAUACAGUCACUUAUUCACACACCCUUAUACACACCCGUAUACACACCCGUACACCCAACCUUAUACUCACCCGUAUACACACAGCCUUAUACACACCCGUAUGCAUACUCCCUUAUACACACCUGUAAACUCACUCACUUAUUCACACACUCUUAUACACACCCGUGUACACAUUUACUUAUUCACACACCCUUAUGCACACACCCUUAUACACACAUGUAUACUCACCCGUAUACACACCUGUAUACACACCCAUAUACACACACCCGUAUACACACUCACUUAUUCACACACCGUUAUACACACAACCUUAUUCACACCCGUAUACCCAGCCUUAUACACACACCCUUAUACACACAGCCUUAUAUACACCCCCUUAUACACACCCAUAUACUCACCAAUAUACACAUACCCUUAAACAAAGCUUUAUACACACUCGUAUACACACUCACUUAUUCACACAGCCUUAUACACACCCGUAUGCACACCCAUAUACACACAGCCUCAUACACUCGGUCUUAUACACACCCGUAUACACACAGCCUUAUACACACCCGUAUACACACCCUUAUACACACCCUUAUACACACCCAUAUACACACCCAUAUACCCACUCACUUAUUCACACACCUUUAUACACACAACCUUAUACACACCCGUAUACACACUCACUUAUUCACACACGCUUAUUCACAGCCAUACACACACAACCUUAUACACACAGCCUUAUACACAC